Molecule: non-coding RNA, 218 nt
Organism: Pteropus alecto (black flying fox)
Lineage: Eukaryota; Metazoa; Chordata; Mammalia; Chiroptera; Pteropodidae
Source: Rfam
GGGAAAUUAUCAAUGUCUACUGAUUGACUCAAUACAAUAUUCCUCAUACAAGUUUGUAGAAAAUCAAGAAAGAGCAUCUUCCACAAGGAUGAGGUGCAGAGUUCUCCCCUGAGAGUGAAGCCAGCUGUUGGUGUUGUUUUGCUGCAAAUACCAUUUUCCAUUGAUGAGCUUUCUUCUCUUCCUUUGUGAGAGGUUUUUGAAAAAAUAGCAGGAGGGGA